Non-coding RNA from Acanthosepion pharaonis, 93 nucleotides. The record is from the annotation of a GenBank genome assembly. Lineage: Eukaryota; Metazoa; Mollusca; Cephalopoda; Sepiida; Sepiidae.
AUAUCAGUUCCCGUACGAUCGCCAAAGUUAAGCAACAUCAAGCCUGGUCAGUACCUAGAUGGGUGACCACUUUUGAAAACCACGUGCUGUAAG